AUUGUAGGUUUCCUCUGAUGACUACGUGUCAGAAUUAUCAAAUGUUUGACAUUCAAUAGCUGAUGAUUAAUUAAUCAGUGUAGAGCUAGUGGUAUAAUUAAACAAAUAAACUUUAAAUUUCAUGUUUCCUAUGCCAUGUCAGGACGUGCUGUGAGGAAGUUACACCAUGUGGUCAAUUGUUCAAACGUUAGCUUAACCAAUGGUUAACAGACAUUUUCAAAACCAAGGACUGAAUCAAUACAAAUAAUAAUUGAAAACAUAAUGUUCAAACCUGAUUUAGAACAAUCAAAGGUGCCAAUACAUGAUCAAAUCUAAAGCUUAUUUUGUAUUUGUGCAAAAAUAAUUAAAAGUAAAAUAUUAGACCAACCCAGGGUUAAUUUAACUGCUUUGAACAAGUGGGCCUAUAUGUUUUUGAAUAACUGAUUUCUAUAAAUUGCACUUUAUCCAUCACAUGGUACACAUGACAUAUACAGCUUAUUACAUGCAGUUGCCAUAAUUACACUAGAAAGUUUUACACACAACUUCUUGCUGUCAAAUUGCAAUGUUUGUCACUGUCAUUUCUUCAUAAUAUAUGCGAAAAAUCACAUACGAAAUUGCUUUUGGAAAACAUUAUGGUGACAGACUUUUAAUUUUAAAAAAAACAGGAGAAUGGAAAAUAUUUAUUUAUAAUUUCUUAGAUAGUUACACUAAUAAAUUGUUUUUCUCUAAAUGUUUUGUAGCCCUCUGAUUAAAUUUAUGUGGGUGCUUGCACCCCUUAAAAAUGAAAGUCUGUUGAAGUCUGGCUGAAAUGUUAAACGGCUGUCGACACCAGUUUAGGAAUGGAGGCAGGCUUCAAAAAGGUUGAGAAAUGCUGAUCUAUAAUGAGUAUUAAGAUCAUGUGAAUUAUUAUGCUGCACAUUUUGUGGUGACAGAUAAAAAACUCUUGAUCAUGAUUUACAGAUAAUGUCUAGGUAUAUAUUUGCUCGUCCCAUAAGUGCAUUAUAAUGUUAUGAAUGUCAUUCAACAUAUAUUAUCUGAAUGUACAAUGUGCUACAUUACGCAAUACUAGAAAAUUAGGCCUAAUGGUGAUGUUUUAUUUCACCCCUACCUCUUGUUUACAAUUGGUGAUAAAGGUAUGAUACGGCAAAUAAGUUGUUUAGUGUAUACUAUUAUAAUAUAUAAAGUAAAUAUUGUGCUUGACAUCAUUGGUGUAAUUUUUAUAAUGGAUAUUACAGAUGAUUGUUUUAUAUAAAUAGCAUCGGGUUUUUUUUGGGUUUUUUAAACUUAAAGCAUGCUGUUAUAAUUGUAAUCUCUUUUCUUUGAUUUGUGCAAUUACUUUGAUGUAUGUCGGUGAAUAUUAAGGGCCAAAUUUACAAAGCUAGCUUGUCUUAAAUGCAGGUGUUUAAGUAUUGUAAAUAUAUGUAGUUAAAUGCUUAUAAGACUAAAACAGUUUUUGUAAACGUGGUCCUUAAUGUAUUAAAUGGAAAGGACCAAAAAUGUUUGUUAAUAACAUAAAAUGGUGUUUAUGUUCAUGAUAUGUAAUAGAGUUUAUUAAUUUAUUAACCUCACUCUUAUGUUUUAUUGCAUUCUUGGUUGUGCUUUACCCUGAACUUGCAUUUUCAUCACCCAUCUGCCUCUGGUUGAACAUGAGAAUAAUGUUGAUAUUUCAAGUCUUUGACCCUUUCUCACUGAAUUUUUCAUAGUGAGAAGGGAUAUGAGUGAAGAAAGUACAUUGACCUAUCAGGAACAAGGUUGUUGACUGUAACAUUUCAUUUUAAAACCGAUUAUUCAUGUCUGGUGUAGAUAUAAACCAUUUAAUGUUGUGCGUUCAGUGUGCAGUACAGAAGAGAGAUAUAAAAUUGAAUCAUGAGAAGAAAUUCAGAAUAAAUAGAUAGAUGUACGAUAUUGACUUUAUCAUUUGAAGGUAAAAAUAUGGAAUUCUGUGAGGCUUGCCGAGCGGAAUUCACAUUUUGGCCUAAACAGAAUAAAGCUGAUAUCCUACAUCAUUAAUUGGGGGAGGUGGGGGCUAUUAUUUCUGUUUAAUUCAGCUACAUUGUAUGCUUAGCCAAGGCAAGUGAGUGGGUUUGUGAUAUAUCUGUGGAUAUCACGUCCAUAUGUAUGUGAUAUCACAAGUCAUACUUGCUUUAUCCAGUCAUGAUAAUCUGCCAAUACAAACAGUGCUUGCAGGAUAUUAUAGAAUAGCUGGUGAAGUUCUAAGGACACUGAAAUGUAAAGAGGCUCCCAAGUUCUAUGCCAUUGAUAAGAUGUUUCUAUUAGAUCCCUUUUUAACGACAACAAUUACAUGUUCAUCCCAAUGUUUGUGGUGUUAAGUUCUAAGAACAUUAAAACAUAAGUGACUCCUAAGUUUACUGCCAUGUUAAGAUGAUACGAACUACUAGAGCCUUUUUAACAACCAAAAUUAUGUGUUCAUCUUAAUGUUUGUAGUAGCUCAACCUUCAUUUUAUUUCCUAAUAUAAUCUGUACGAAAUACUGGGAGAUAAAUCCAGUUUGGGCUAGUACAAACAUUAGGACACGUCCUAUUUGAAACUUGUUACAGUGUCUUCAAAUGCAGGAGAGUCGCUUUAAUAUAAAUCAUAAAAGAUAGAUCUGACAAAAAUUGUUGUACUUGUUUGAAUUUACAUUGCAUUUUAUCAUUACCAUAAUAUGUUUGAGUAUUGUUUUUAAUAUUGUUAGUAAUGUAAAAUAGCUUUAAAAUGUAUGUGUAAUGUGUUUUUUGGUACAGGGAUAAAUGAAAUCCGACAUUUGUUUUGGUGGAACCUUGAACCCAGUGCCCCCUAUGAAAUAGUAGGUCCUCAUACCUACAACACUGCUACUGAUGGGAGAUUAAUUUGUAAAGUGGUCUUAGGCGAUGUUUUAUAUUUCAGGUGAUGGACAAUGUUUUACUUGGUGUCUAGACAUGUGACCUAGAAACGUUAAAUAAAUAUAGGGCCAAAUUAACAAAGCUUGUUUUUUCUUGAACGUAGGUGUGUAAGCAUUGCAAAUGUAUGUAGUUACAUGUGUGUAAGGCUAGAACAGGUGUGUAAGCAUUGCAAAUGUAUGUAGUUACAUGUGUGUACGGCUAGAACAGGUGUGUAAGCAUGGCAAAUGUAUGUAGUUACAUGUGUGUACGGCUAGAACAGGUGUGUAAGCAUUGCAAAUGUAUGUAGUUACAUGUGUGUAAGGCUAGAACAGGUGUGUAAGCAUUGCAAAUGUAUGUAGUUACAUGUGUGUAAGGCUAGAACAGGUGUGUAAGCAUGGCAAAUGUAUGUAGUUCCAUGUGUGUAAGGCUAGAACAGGUGUGUAAGCAUGGCAAAUGUAUGUAGUUCCAUGUGUGUAAGGCUAGAACAGGUGUGUAAGCAUUGCAAAUGUAUGUAGUUACAUGUGUGUAAGGCUAGAACAGGUGUGUAAGCAUUGCAAAUGUAUGUAGUUACAUGUGUGUAAGGCUAGAACAGGUGUGUAAGCAUGGCAAAUGUAUGUAGUUACAUGUGUGUAAGGCUAGAACAGGUGUGUAAGCAUUGCAAAUGUAUGUAGUUACAUGUGUGUACGGCUAGAACAGGUGUGUAAGCAUUGCAAAUGUAUGUAGUUACAUGUGUGUAAGGCUAGAACAGGCUUUGUAAAUUUGGUCUGUGAUGUUUAUUUUAUUACAGAGGAUUGUGCUUUACUAAAUACUUGAAGCAUUCUAUCUUCGAGCACAAAAUAAAUUGUUUGGCAUCCUACAUCAUAUAAAGAAAAGUCCUGUUGGAUACAAAAGUUUGUAGAAAAUUAUGUAACCACGUACACAGUGUGUGAAAUUCCAUGAUGUGAAUAAUGAGUUGGUUGGUGACUGUAUGGGAGUGAAAAUAGAUGGACUUUGUCAUUUAAAGCAUGCUAUAAUAUUUAUAGUUCAUUUUACUGUUAUACCUUGUUUUGUAUUUAUUUUUUCAAUAACUUAUAUUUCACUGCACUCACAAAGAUUUGUAUUGUACAGAAAUUUUACCCUUGAAACAUUCAGCUGAAAAGAUUUCACUUUUUAAAUUGAAUUAGUAGGGGUACAAUGUGAAACAACUAAAUGUUCCUUUUUGUUUGUCGAUUAUGAAUUUAUGCAACACGUGCUGUAAAACCUGUAUGUAACAAGACAUGAACAAAUUUACUUUUUGUACUCUUAACAGAGACAACCCUCCCCCUAGUCCAUUAAUCCUGCUCCUUGCUAUAAUCUCUGGAAAGGGGGGGGGGGGGUGUUUCCUUUUCAAAUGUGGUAUAUGGAAGGGGGGAUUUUUGUUUGGGAUAUUAUACAGUAUGAACAUUUUUCUACGGAUUGAUCUGAAGAUCAAGAAAAGAUUGUUUGGGUUUAUGCAAUAUUAAAACAUUUUCUAAAGAUUGUAGUUCAACAUGUUUUUGAUGUGAAAGUUAAUACAAUGACAUUUUCAGAAUUAAAAUGUCUGUUAAAUCAGGUUUUACUGUAUGUAAACAUUCUUGGUCCAUCUGCAGACUUCAGUCUGGUAAUUGUGCCUCAUGAUCAAUGUAAAUGUAAUUGUUUUCUUAACACGCCCAUUUACAUGAACAGUGUCCUGUACUUUAUUUUACUUGUAAAUUUUCAUGCAGUGCAGUUUGUAACAGAUAUAAUCCUAACUGUUGUAACGACUGUGUCCUGUUAUCCUUGUAUAGAUAUACCUAUUGGACGUAAGAUAAUGAAUAACUGAAAUUGUGUUCCUUUCUUUUAUGUGGUUCAAUAACUACUGCUAAGCUGAAUGUUAUGUGACCAUUGCUAGAUGUGUAAAAUAGCAUUUCUAAGUUGGUCACCUGUAUUUAGUAAUUAUGUUUGAAAAUGUAUUAUUAUUUUAAAAAAAACAGUAUUAUAAUAAUAAUUAACAAUUUAAUACUAAUAGUUUACUCAUUUAUGUACAUAAAUACUAGAUAUAAAUUUAUUGUGCAUUAAUUCAAUUCUACUGUUAUAUUCCAAGGAAAGUAUUUUGUUUAUGGAUUGUUUAAUUUCCUGAACAUAAUAAAUAUUAGCAUAAAAGUAAUGUCAUAAAACCUCAUUUUAGAUAUAAUUAUCAAAUAUAAUCUCUGGUAAAACAUGAGAAAACAGGAAAUACUGACAGUGUGGACUAUUUGAGAAUGAAUGAAUGAAUAAAUAAAGAAAAAUCACUUGUCAAGUAUCAAAUAUACGAGACCGUAAAUGAUAAUACAAAGAUUUUGUGAUUAAACUUGUAGCACAUAUUAAAAUUUAAGAAUAAUAUAUGUAUGAAGCAUAUUUAAUUGUUAAAACUAUACAAGUCACAUUCAGUGAUGAUGAAUUUAUUGUAUCUUUUAUUUGCCAACCAACCGCAAAAACAAAGAGACACAUAAUUAGAUAGUGUGUAAAGUUUUUGACCAAAGUUUUUGCAAGCAGAACAUUUUAAAUAUUUUAAGAGUUUAAGAUACUGUUGGUUUCUUGGAAAUUUAAUUUUACAGCAUGUAGAGCAACUGACAAUAUAUUUGUUGAGAUAUGACAAUUGGAUGUGAUAUCAUGUACAGCUGUGGUGGAUAUGUUGAAAUCUGAUGAUUGGAUGUGAUAUCAUGUACAGCUGUGGUGGAUAUGUUGAAAUCUGAUGAUUGGAUGUGAUAUCAUGUACAGCUGUGGUAGAUAUGUUGAAAUAUGAUGAUUGGAUGCGAUAUCAUGUACAGCUGUGGUGGAUAUGUUGAAAUCUGAUGAGUUGAUGCGAUAUCAUGUACAGUUGUGGUGAAUAUCUUGAAAUUGAUGAUUGGAUGAGAUAUGUACAGCUGUGGUGGAUAUCUUGAAAUUGAUGAUUGGAUGUGAUAUCAAGUACAGCUGUUGUGGAUAUCUUGAAAUUGACGAUUGGAUGUGAUAUCAAGUACAGCUGUUGUGGAUAUCUUGAAAUUUAUGAUUGGAUACGAUAUAAUGUACAGCUAUUGUGGAUAUCUUGAAAUUGAUGAUUGGAUGUGAUAUCAUGUACAGCUGUGGUGAAUAUCUUGAAAUUGAUUGGAUGCGAUAUCAUGUACAGUUGUGGUGGAUAUCUUGAAAUUGAUGAUUGGAUGUGAUAUCACGUACAGCUGUGGUGGAUAUCUUGAAAUUGAUGAUUGGAUGCAAUAUCAUGUACAGCUCUGGUGGAUAUCUUGAAAUUUAUUGGAUGCGACAUCAUGUACAGCUGUGGUGGAUAUCUUGAAAUUGAUGAUUGGAUGCGAUAUCAUGUACAGCUGUGGUGAAUAUCUUGAAAUUGAUGAUUGGAUAUCUUGAAAUUGAUGAUUGGGUGUGAUAUCAAGUACAGCUAUUGUGGAUAUCUUGAAAUUGAUGAUUGGAUGUGAUAUCAAGUACAGCUGUUGUGGAUAUAUUGAAAUUGAUGAUUGGAUGCAAUAUCAUCAUGUACAGCUGUGGUGGAUAUCUUGAAAUUGAUGAUUGGAUGCAUUAUCAGGUACAGCUGUGGUGGAUAUCUUGAAAUUGAUGAUUGAAUGUGAUAUCAUGUACAGCUGUGGUGGAUAUCUUGAAAUUGAUGAUUGGAUGUGAUACAAUGUACAGCACUGGUGGAAUAUGUUGAUUAGAUGUGAUGCAUUAUGUACAGAAGUGGUGGGACAUAUCACUUAGUGGGAAUUAUCACACAUACAAAACAAAUGUAUUUUAAAUGCAUGGGUAAUAAGUAUAUCAGUGUUACGAUAUCCAGUUAUUUUCAUUCUCAAAGUCCACACAGGUCAGUAUUGCUUUAACGAGCUAUGGAUAGUUCUGUUUGAAUAUUGUGCAUAUGAUAUUCAUUACAUUUUGAGUACUUGUGAAAUUCUUUAUUUGUAUGGGCUUAUUGUUUGUGGUAGUGCUAAGAUACACAUUUUGUUGACUGCACUAGUCCAUGAAUUACACCAAAACUAGACCACAGGAAUAAAACUGUAGUGGAUAUCAUGCUAACCCUAAGAAAAGUUGUUUUCACAGUAGUGGAUAAAAAGAAUCAAAUUAUGCUAACCCUAAGAACAAGUGCUUUGCAGUUUUGUGUCAAUGAAUACUACUAGCAUUAUACAACUUUUUAAGUUUGUCUUUGUGACACCCAUCAAUAAGAUAAUCAAAUUUAAAUCCUGGGCUUAAUUAUGUAUAUAACUCAUCUUCUCCAAGUGUUUUGUUUUACUUUAUAAAACAGAAAAUCUCUGAAUCUUCACAUUUAGUGUGAAAUUCUUUUAUUUUGUUAAUCCCAAUUUAAAUACUUACUUGCAGGCAGAAGUGACCAUUUUUAGUUUUAUUAGGAGUGUCAUAAUUUGUUGUUAAACUACAAUUGUUUUAUUGUUGUCAUCAUUUGUUAAAACUGCAUAUGAAUCUGAAAUAAACGUAUUUAUAUUU
Molecule: long non-coding RNA, 7276 nt
Filed under: Gigantopelta aegis
Lineage: Eukaryota; Metazoa; Mollusca; Gastropoda; Neomphalida; Peltospiridae
Description: uncharacterized LOC121374160
Source: RNAcentral